AUCCCAGAUAAAUCCUCGCUAUGUUUGUGUGAUCCAUUGGAGGCAAACAUUGACAGUAAAUGUUUUGCUGAUAGCACCUUUCUUUGUUGUUUUUGGAGGUGUUUUAAUAGUAUUUUUCUAUACAUGA
Molecule: small nucleolar RNA, 127 nt
Organism: Juglans microcarpa x Juglans regia
Lineage: Eukaryota; Viridiplantae; Streptophyta; Magnoliopsida; Fagales; Juglandaceae
Source: RefSeq, a predicted model, not a curated record